CCUACGGGGGGCAGCAGUGAGGAAUAUUGGUCAAUGGGCGCGAGCCUGAACCAGCCAAGUAGCGUGAAGGAUGACUGCCCUACGGGUUGUAAACUUCUUUUAUAAAGGGAUAAAAUGAGGCACGUGUGCCUUUUUGUAUGUACUUUAUGAAUAAGGAUCGGCUAACUCCGUGCCAGCAGCCGCGGUAAUACGGAGGAUCCGAGCGUUAUCCGGAUUUAUUGGGUUUAAAGGGAGCGUAGGUGGGUUGUUAAGUCAGUUGUGAAAGUUUGCGGCUCAACCUUAAAAUUGCCAUUGAUACUGGAAGUCUUGAGUACAGAUGAGGUAGGCGGAAUGUGUGGUGUAGCGGUGAAAUGCUUAGAUAUCACGCAGAACUCCGAUUGCGAAGGCAGCUUACUAAGCUGCCACUGACACUGAUGCUCGAAAGUGUGGGGAUCAAACAGGAUUAGAUACCCCAGUAGUC
This 460-nucleotide ribosomal RNA is filed under the name uncultured bacterium. RNAcentral's name for it is "partial 16S ribosomal RNA". It matches the Rfam family "Bacterial small subunit ribosomal RNA", at positions 338 to 795 of the family's 1533-position model. The record is from RNAcentral.